This 529-nucleotide long non-coding RNA is filed under the name Homo sapiens (human). Its description in RNAcentral is "HSALNT0171967". The record is from RNAcentral. Lineage: Eukaryota; Metazoa; Chordata; Mammalia; Primates; Hominidae.
AGACGGCGCCCAACCUUCCUCUGCAGCGCCCCUACCGACCCGCGCUCCGCAGCUCCUGAGGGCUUUCGAGCCCAGAUGGUCAUCUGAGACGAGAGGUGGCGGCGAAGGAGAGUCUCGCCUGUCACGCUCCCGGAGCAGGGGCUUCAUGAGGUGGCCAUGGAAACAGCCUGGCAGACUCCCAUCUCUCCUGGUGCCAUCUCCGGAGCGGAAAGUGGAGCGCCCCGCUGGCGACCAAGGCCGCACUGAGAGCCCUGGUUUGGUCAACAGUUGGGCUCCAAGGACAGUCAUUGACUGAUGGCUGGACGACAUGCAUGUCCUGAAAUAGAAAAGAUUGGGCUGAAGGGAAAGAGAUGAGAUGAGGGAGAAAUUUAUAUCAGAGGACUGCUAUCUCCAUUUUGAUCAGCAAAAUGCCAACAGUGACCCUGAAAAAGCACAGGAUAGAAACAUGACAAAGAUUACAAGACUAGCAGUGCACCAACAACCCUACCUUUUGACAUAGCAAAAUCCAAGACCAGCUGCAGCACCAAAG